Molecule: microRNA precursor, 60 nt
Filed under: Ascaris suum (pig roundworm)
Lineage: Eukaryota; Metazoa; Nematoda; Chromadorea; Rhabditida; Ascarididae
Description: Asu-Mir-2-o11d_pre stem-loop
Source: RNAcentral
CGGUAGCAGAGGUGCUGCGAUACGCUGUGUAGUAUCAUAUCACAGUUCUUUGCUACCUCG